CCUUCGGGAGCUGACGAGUGGCGGACNGGUGAGUAACGCGUAGGAAUCUGCCUCAUAGUGGGGGACAACGUGGGGAAACUCACGCUAAUACCGCAUACGCCCUACGGGGGAAAGCGGGGGCUCGUAAGACCUCGCGCUAUGAGAUGAGCCUGCGUUAGAUUAGCUAGUUGGUAGGGUAAAGGCCUACCAAGGCGACGAUCUAUAGCUGGUCUGAGAGGACGAUCAGCCACACUGGGACUGAGACACGGCCCAGACUCCUACGGGAGGCAGCAGUGGGGAAUAUUGGACAAUGGGCGCAAGCCUGAUCCAGCAAUACCGCGUGUGUGAAGAAGGCCCUAGGGUUGUAAAGCACUUUCAAUAGGGAGGAAAACCUGCCGGUCAAUACCCGGUAGCUUGACAUUACCUAUAGAAGAAGCACCGGCUAACUCCGUGCCAGCAGCCGCGGUAAUACGGAGGGUGCGAGCGUUAAUCGGAAUUACUGGGCGUAAAGCGUGCGUAGGCGGUUCGUUAAGUCAGAUGUGAAAGCCCUGGGCUCAACCUGGGAACUGCAUUUGAAACUGGCGAACUAGAGUUGAGUAGAGGGGAGUGGAAUUUCAGGUGUAGCGGUGGAAUGCGUAGAUAUCUGAAGGAACACCAGUGGCGAAGGCGACUCCCUGGACUCAAACUGACGCUGAGGUACGAAAGCGUGGGUAGCAAACAGGAUUAGAUACCCUGGUAGUCCACGCUGUAAACGAUGUCAACUAGCCGUUGGUCCUAUUUACAGGAUUAGUGGCGCAGCUAACGCAUUAAGUUGACCGCCUGGGGAGUACGGCCGCAAGGUUAAAAACUCAAAUGAAUUGACGGGGGCCCGCACAAGGCGGUGGAGCACGUGGUUUAAUUCGAUGCACGCGAAAGAACCUUACCCUACCCCUUGACAUCCAGAGAAUC
Molecule: ribosomal RNA, 927 nt
Filed under: uncultured bacterium
Lineage: Bacteria
Description: bacterial SSU rRNA
Rfam family: Bacterial small subunit ribosomal RNA
Source: RNAcentral